AAAAGCCCACAAUGUUUCUUUGUCACCAUCUUGAAAUGUCCAAUUUGUCUUAGCUUUUACUAAAUUAUUUAGUUUUGACAAGAUUCAACCUACCAAGUUCAAUUAGAUGUAGAAAUCUUGUGGAUGAUAAAGAAAAUGGACGUUAAGCCGAAAUUAACCACAAAAGCUAACAUCGAUGAUUGAUAAUUGUCAAAAAUUAUACAAAGAGACAACAACUAGUGUUAGACUCUAACAACCCCUCACACGUUCAGCAUUGGACGUUUGGAGCGUGGACAACUUUGCAUCGAAGCGCAAUAUUAGGUAAACUAAGAAUAUGACUCUACUGAUAUCAUAUAAAAAAAAUGAACGUCGAAUCUAACUCACCCCAAAAGGAAGCUCAUAAGGUGCGGAGUCCGGACUAUUCCUUAGCCUUCAACCAAUGUGAGACUAGUGGAAAAAAUCUUUUGAAUGAAAUUGUUUUUCUUCUCAUGGUGAAUCGUACUUAUCCUAUGAGAAAACACUUUCAAUAGUUUUCGACAACAAAAUACCAAAAUAUUAAAUCGAGUAAAAGAGAGAGCUACGUUCAAAAUUUUAAUCAUAACUCAUGGAAUCUGUUUAAUCACUGCUAUAUUCAACAAAUAUUGAGGCAUAUUGCUAGGAAAUGGAUUUGAACCAUUAGAUGUACAUUUAUUUAACAUGUAUUAAACUUUAAAGAUUUGGGACAAAAUAUUCUUCAAAGCUUCUAUGAUUCGAAACAAAAUAUUUGCAAUUCGUAGAUUUUUUUUGCAAAAAAAACUUGUAUUUUUUUCAUCUGUGACGAAUACUUUAUCACUAUGAUUAGUUAUGACAAUUACAAAUUACAUUUUACACAAGACAAAGUGAAAAUGCAAUAUCUUUUGUCCAAUACUUUGAGAUGCUCCUCCCCAUCGAUCAAGGAGCGAAGAUGUUCGUGAUAAGCAACGCUUUAAGCCGCUAUCAUUAUGAGUCUUACGACGAAUUUGAUUGGCAGGUUCAAUAGCAACAAGAAGGGAAUCCAUUAGCUCAUUAUUUAGUACGAAUCGGUGAAUCGGCUAGAAUCAUAAAUGGGUUGUCUCAUUUCUGAUGAUCUAUGCUAUAGAUAGAAACAAAAAAUACUUGCAUAAUCAGAUAGCUUAAAAUGUAAUAAUUAGAGGUAACUUCAUUUAAUAAGCAUUGAAUCAUACGUAGUAUAAAUAGAAAUCACAAUGCUAUAACAGGUUCAAUCACACAGAUAAUAUAAAUUUUUCAUUUUUCGUACACUAUCAUGGAAUAUAACUUAAAUUCUUAUAAAAUACCUAAAGUGAGUUUCCAUGAAAUUCCAAAGGGAUAUUGAUUUAAGUCAUUUUCUUUCCUGAUUCGAGAGAUACUUUGCAGAGAGCCCAUUCUUCCAUUUGUUCUUUUGUUUAGUCCCUCACUUUUGUCCCUUUUAACUGCACUUCUUAUCUAAUUUGAGCUUUUAUGCUAGCAGCGGGCGAAGGUACAUAGCCCUAAGAGUGAUCAAUUGACCACCUUUCGUCAAAAAAUUAUACUAUAUAUAUAAGUAAAAUAUUAGAUUUUAAUGGUAUAUAACAUAUAUUGAACACCUUUUAUCGAAUUCUUUUUUGCUUAUUUCACGUUUGAACACCCUAAAUGAAAUUCCUGACUUCGUCAUUCGACUAGCACCAGUAUGUAUCUUUUCGAAUUGGAAUAGUAAAGAAAACAAAAAGUUAAACAGACAUAAAAUCAUGCAAUGAAAGUAGUAAGCCGAGUUUUGCUUACAACAACGACAAACCAAGUGAGUUCUCUCAAGUGGGGCCUGGGGAAGGUAAUGUUUAUGCAGACCUUAUCCCUAUCCUGAGAGAGCAUAGAGUUUUGCUUAUGGGGGAGGGGGGGAGGGGAGGGGAGUCGAUAGGUGAGAAAACUUAUUACGUUUCAAUGCUAAGUUAUACCCAUAGAGGCCAACUCAUAGAUUAACUAAAAAACAAAUAGGGCAGCCCGGUGCACUAAGCUCCCGCUAUGCGCGGGGUAUGGGAGAGGACCGAACCGCACGGUCUUAUGCUCCACAAUAUUACAUCGAUAUUAUGUCCUGCAGUAUUAUAUUACAAUGAUCUUACGCUUAGCAGUACCAAAUUACGACGAUGUCGCACCCUGUAGUAUUGUACGUUGAAUUUGUCGUAAGAUAAUUGACAUCAGUCCAAGAAAAAGAUUAUUUGGAGAUUAUAAGGAUUAUCCUAUUUCACAAGUGAUGAGUAAACUCGUGAAGGUGAAAGGGGAAACAAGUCAAAGAAAAUGAAUUUGGCAUUUUGGGAUAAAAUAUAGCUCGGACUAAAAUACCCGAUAUAUAUGGACUAGUGUCAUAGAAGGUACUACAUGACCAUGAUAGUAAGGUGUAUAAGGUGUGUGAAAGUGAGUAGCAUUUUAAGAAAGUGGGAAUAAUUCUCAAUUACGAGAGGUAAUUGGUUAAUUACCGGGUAACGGAAUAUUACCUAAUUAAUUGGGGAUAUAUUGGAUAAGAUUAAUCCCAAAACGUGGCAAAAAACCAUAAUAGUAAGAGAAUGACUCUUACUAGUUUUAUGAUUAGAUGGCAAAAAGCCACAAUAUAAGAGAAUGACUCUUACUGGUUUUAUAAUUAGGUGGCAAAAAGCCACAAUAUUUCACUUUAAUAUAUUCAAUACCACUACAAAGAGAUAACCAAUGGUCCAAAACGUGAAAGCUCGGAACGUGAAAUUCUCUUAAAUACUACAAUGUCCAAAACGUGAAAUUCUCUUAAAUACUACAAUAUCCAAACCUGAAAUGCUAAUUCAAAGAAAGCCCGGUACAAUCUUUCUCAAGAAUAUCAUAUGAAUUUUUUCUUACUUCGACCCGCCAUUACGUGUUUUCGCAAAAGAGAAUUGAUUCAGGUAUGUUAAGGUUAUCCCUUCUUUCUUUUGGCAUGACCCAUACGACACAAACGAAAUGUGCAAAUGCACAAUUUCCAUACAUGACUCUAUUCAUAGAAAUAUUAGAGAUGUUUAUGUUGUUGAUUCCCCAUGUGUCAUAUUAUUAUAUCAUAUGUUCAUGGGUCUCAGAAAAAUAUGUAAGUUGAAAAAGUUUACUUCAUGAUAUUAUUCAAAGGCAUAAUGGUCUUAUGACACUCCAAGGGAUUUAAUUGAUGUACUUUUCAUGCAUUGCAUUCAUAUACAUUGACCUAUGACCAGAUAGCGUUAUAUACGCGUAUAUAUGUAUAUAUCUAUAUGUAUAUGGGAUAUGGGAAAAGGUUACGGCGUUAUAUACAAAAUUUCAAAUUCAAGUUAUGAACUAUCUCAAUAGUUAUAUGAAUGCAUAAUUUAUCCACAAUAAAAUAAUAGCAACAUUCAAACGAUUUGACUAUUGCAUAAGACACAUGUAUUAUGGUUUGCACUCUUCAAAUAUAAUAUUAAAAUAUUUCGUAAAUAAAUUUUAGACACAAUAAACCACGGCUCUGAUACCACUGUAGUAUUGAAUAUAGGUGUUUGUAACAAGCAGCGGAAGACAAUAACAAUCCUAGGAAGAUCUUUUCGUGUUUAAAAUUUAUUUACAUGCCAAAGAUCGGAUUUAAGACGUACCUGGUAAAGAGUGUCUUGUUUCAAAAUUUCUUCGAUAGUGCGAAGAUUCUAUGUGUAUCCACACCGAGACCGAUCCUUGCUAUCAAUUCUUUGAUCAAUGAAACCCGCGAACAAAUUAAACGAAAUAUUUUGUUGAAAUUUUUCUCAAAAACUUCAACUAAAAUAGAAAGAACAAGAAACUAAGUUUUCUUGUCAAGAAUAUUUCUUGGUUUUUUGUGGCUUCUUAAAAAUUAUAUCACUUGUUCACUUUUUUC
RNAcentral lists this long non-coding RNA (3814 nucleotides) under Nicotiana tabacum (common tobacco). RNAcentral's name for it is "long non-coding RNA (NTAB_LNC011678)". The record is from RNAcentral. Lineage: Eukaryota; Viridiplantae; Streptophyta; Magnoliopsida; Solanales; Solanaceae.